GACGAACGCUGGCGGCGCGCUUAACACAUGCAAGUCGAACGGAAAGGCCUGCUUUCCCUUGUGGAUUGCGGGUACUCGAGUGGCGAACGGGUGAGUAACACGUGAGUGAUCUGCCCCCAACUUGGGUAUAAGCCUGGGAAACUGGGUCUAAUUCCCGAUAGGACUGCAGGGUGGUGCCUGUGGUGGAAAACGAUUUUCUAGUGGUUGGGGAUGAGCUCGCGGCCUAUCAGCUUGUUGGUGGGGUAAUGGCCUACCAAGGCGGCGACGGGUAGCCGGCCUGAGAGGGUGGACGGCCACAUUGGGACUGAGAUACGGCCCAGACUCCUACGGGAGGCAGCAGUGGGGAAUAUUUCACAAUGGGCGGAAGCCUGAUGCAGCGACGCCGCGUGGGGGAUGACGGCCUUCGGGUUGUAAACUCCUUUCGACCGCGAGGAAGCCACCUGGUUGGAAGGGUGGUGACGGUAGUGGUAGAAGAAGCACCGGCUAACUACGUG
RNAcentral lists this ribosomal RNA (494 nucleotides) under uncultured bacterium. RNAcentral's name for it is "partial 16S ribosomal RNA". It matches the Rfam family "Bacterial small subunit ribosomal RNA", at positions 28 to 507 of the family's 1533-position model. The record is from RNAcentral.